UGGGCAACCUGCCCUCAGCUCUGGGAUAACUCCAAGAAAUUGGGGCUAAUACCGGAUAUGACCGCUGACCGCAUGGUCUGGUGGUGGAAAGAUUUAUCGGCUGGGGAUGGGCUCGCGGCCUAUCAGCUUGUUGGUGAGGUAAUGGCUCACCAAGGCUUCGACGGGUAGCCGGCCUGAGAGGGUGACCGGCCACACUGGGACUGAGACACGGCCCAGACUCCUACGGGA
Molecule: ribosomal RNA, 228 nt
Filed under: uncultured bacterium
Lineage: Bacteria
Description: partial 16S ribosomal RNA
Rfam family: Bacterial small subunit ribosomal RNA
Source: RNAcentral